RNAcentral lists this ribosomal RNA (326 nucleotides) under uncultured bacterium. Its description in RNAcentral is "bacterial SSU rRNA". It matches the Rfam family "Bacterial small subunit ribosomal RNA", at positions 28 to 334 of the family's 1533-position model. The record is from RNAcentral.
GACGAACGCUGGCGGCGUGCCUAACACAUGCAAGUCGAACGGAGAACAGAAGGAUUGAGGCUUCGGCGGAUUGAGAUCUGUUCUUAGUGGCGGACGGGCGAGUAACGCGUGAGCAACCUGCCCUUCAGAGGGGAACAACAGUUGGAGGCGACUGCUAAUACCGCAUAACGUCAUUUGAGGGCAUCCUCGAAUGACCAAAGAUUUUAUCGCUGAAGGAUGGGCUCGCGUCCGAUUAGAUAGUUGGUGGGGUAACGGCCUACCAAGUCGACGAUCGGUAGCCGAACUGAGAGGUUGAUCGGCCGCAUUGGGACUGAGACACGGCCCAG